This 514-nucleotide ribosomal RNA is filed under the name Salmonella enterica subsp. enterica serovar Anatum. RNAcentral's name for it is "partial 23S ribosomal RNA". It matches the Rfam family "Bacterial large subunit ribosomal RNA", at positions 2226 to 2739 of the family's 2925-position model. The record is from RNAcentral. Lineage: Bacteria; Pseudomonadati; Pseudomonadota; Gammaproteobacteria; Enterobacterales; Enterobacteriaceae.
CGUGGACCCGUGAUCCGGGUUGCGGACAGUGUCUGGUGGGUAGUUUGACUGGGGCGGUCUCCUCCUAAAGAGUAACGGAGGAGCACGAAGGUUGGCUAAUCCUGGUCGGACAUCAGGAGGUUAGUGCAAUGGCAUAAGCCAGCUUGACUGCGAGCGUGACGGCGCGAGCAGGUGCGAAAGCAGGUCAUAGUGAUCCGGUGGUUCUGAAUGGAAGGGCCAUCGCUCAACGGAUAAAAGGUACUCCGGGGAUAACAGGCUGAUACCGCCCAAGAGUUCAUAUCGACGGCGGUGUUUGGCACCUCGAUGUCGGCUCAUCACAUCCUGGGGCUGAAGUAGGUCCCAAGGGUAUGGCUGUUCGCCAUUUAAAGUGGUACGCGAGCUGGGUUUAGAACGUCGUGAGACAGUUCGGUCCCUAUCUGCCGUGGGCGCUGGAGAACUGAGGGGGGCUGCUCCUAGUACGAGAGGACCGGAGUGGACGCAUCACUGGUGUUCGGGUUGUCAUGCCAAUGGCACU